This 477-nucleotide ribosomal RNA is filed under the name uncultured bacterium. RNAcentral's name for it is "partial 16S ribosomal RNA". It matches the Rfam family "Bacterial small subunit ribosomal RNA", at positions 28 to 507 of the family's 1533-position model. The record is from RNAcentral.
GAUGAACGCUGGCGGCGUGCUUAACACAUGCAAGUCGAGCGGACAGACCAGACGUUUGCUGUACUCAUGUUAGCGGCGGGCGGGUGAGUCACACGUGGAUCACCCACCUAUAUGACUGAGAUAACUUCGAGAAAGCGGAGUUAAUACCGUAGGAUAUUCUGCACCGCAGGGUUUAAAAGUGAAAGUCGGGCUUGCUGGCGGUCCUAGAUGCGUCCGCGGUGCUUGAGCUGGUUGGUAGAGUAACGGCUUACCACGGCAACGAUGGAUAGCCGACCUGAGAGGGGGAUCGGCGACACGGGGACUGAGAGACGGACCAGACUCGAACGGGAGGCAGCGGUGGGAAAUAUUGCACAGUGGGCGCGAGCGAGAUGCGGCGACGCUGCGAGCGGGAAAACGGCCUUCGGGGGGAAAACAUCUGUCUAAGUCAACGAAGCGAAAGUGACGGUAGCUGAUCAGAAAGCCCCGGCUAACUACGUG